Suricata suricatta (meerkat) is the source of this 1048-nucleotide long non-coding RNA. RefSeq lists it as uncharacterized. The record is from RefSeq and is a predicted model, not a curated record. The transcript is spliced from 5 exons. Lineage: Eukaryota; Metazoa; Chordata; Mammalia; Carnivora; Herpestidae.
UGUGCUCAACCUGUUGUCCCACAGAGCUAUUCUUUUAUCCGCUCCCCAUCUUUUAUAUCAUAUAACUUACUUGACUUGGAGACUGUCACAUUCUUCUUUGAAUCUGUGAUCUUCUGCUCCACCUCCCCUCAGAUUUUAUCCCUGCUUGUCCCUAGUUUGUGUAGCCUUUCCCUCUUCCACUCUUGCCCAACUCUGCCUUGCCCCAAAACCUGGAGACAGGGUCUGGAGCACCAGGGACCAGAGAAAUGCUUCCAUAGCAAUCUAUUGAUGGAACCCAGGACCCCAGACUCUCUAAAGUAGUCAUGGUCCAGUAGAAGUAGCACAUACUCUGGGACAAAAGAGCUGGGCUGCACUACUGGCUGAUUUGAAAUGGAGCUUGUGAACACAGAAGUCUGGUCUUGGAAGAGAAGAGCAGAGACAUCAGAACUGAGAUAGCAAAGGACAAGAGCUCCGUGAUGGCGAGAAAGUGAGCACUAAACCCCCGGGGAGGCCUGCGCAUGCCGGAGGCGUUCAGAGGGGCCGGUUUCCAGGCGAGCACCUGUGUUCAUCGCGCCUGUCUGCGUCCAGGACUCUCAAUUACCCAUCUUGAGAAGUCGAGCUUCACCACCAACUUGGGAAAAGAAUUAACGUGGCGACGUUGCCCCUGAUGAAAAUACACUGGCAGGCACAACAUGAGAUUCCAAGCUGUAGAAUUUGAGUCCAGAUCCAGCCAUCUGUAAACAGCAUCAAUAACUCCAUGAAGGUGUAUCGAGCAGGGAUAUCAACUGCUCUGAUGCAGGAUCUGGGCCAACAGCCCAGGCCCUAGUGAUAGGAGGUAUGAUGCCAAUUUGCUGGGACCUCAAAGCCACACCAGAGGUCUGUCCCUAGCCAAGCUCCUCCCCUCUCCCUCUUCCUCACCGGGACCUCCCUUUUGUCGUCUGGAGACUGGUGGCCACCACACCAAGGAGCAUCACUAUACCUUGUGGGUGGCUUGGGAAUUAUGCAGUCCAUCGGGGUCCAUUCAAUCCCAAAGGUUUAUGUAUUUGAAUUCUCAUUAAAAGAGUCACGG